AACGAACGUUGGCGGCGUGGAUUAGGCAUGCAAGUCGAACGAAUCCCUGGGGGCUUGCUCUCAGGGGGAAGUGGCGAAAGGGGCAGUAAGGCGUGGGUAACCUACCCCGGGGAUCGGGAUAGCCACCCUAACGGGUGGGUAAUACCGGGCGAUGUAACGGCGGCGCCUGUCGCGGUUACCAAAGGAAUUUCGCCCCGGGACGGGGCUCACGUGGUAUUAGCUUGUUGGUGGGGUAACGGGCUCACCAAGGCAAAGAUGCCUAGCGGGUGUGAGAGCACGACCCGCGCCACUGGCACUGAGACACUGGCCAGACUCCUACGGGAGGCUGCAGUCGAGGAUCUUCGGCAAUGGGCGCAAGCCUGACCGAGCGACGCCGCGUGCACGAUGAAGGCCUUCGGUU
RNAcentral lists this ribosomal RNA (400 nucleotides) under uncultured bacterium. Its description in RNAcentral is "bacterial SSU rRNA". It matches the Rfam family "Bacterial small subunit ribosomal RNA", at positions 28 to 423 of the family's 1533-position model. The record is from RNAcentral.